CUUGGCACUCGAGAACGACUGCGCGGAUGACGCGGCGAUCGACGGUGCCAAUCC
RNAcentral lists this microRNA precursor (54 nucleotides) under Heligmosomoides polygyrus. Its description in RNAcentral is "microRNA hpo-mir-790 precursor". Its record names the gene hpo-mir-790. Lineage: Eukaryota; Metazoa; Nematoda; Chromadorea; Rhabditida; Heligmosomidae. The record is from miRBase by way of RNAcentral.